CGAAAUGUGAUAAGUAGUGUGAAUUGCAGAAUUCAGUGAAUCAUCGAAUCUUUGAACGCACAUUGCGCCCUUUGGUAUUCCUUAGGGCAUGCCUGUUCGAGCGUCAUCUAAACCUUCAAGCCCUGCUUGGUGUUGGGUGCCUGUCCCGCCUCCGCGCGCGGACUCACCUCAAAUCCAUUGGCGGCCCCCGCGUCGGCCACGAGCGCAGCAGAAACGCGAACUCGUGAGCCCGUCCGGGCGGCUCCCAGAAGCUACACCCACCCAGUUUGACCUCGGAUCAGGUAGGGAUACCCGCUGAACUUAAGC
RNAcentral lists this unclassified non-coding RNA (306 nucleotides) under plant metagenome. RNAcentral's name for it is "partial contains 5.8S ribosomal RNA, internal transcribed spacer 2, and large subunit ribosomal RNA". The stretch from base 1 to 106 matches the Rfam family "5.8S ribosomal RNA", at positions 49 to 154 of the family's 154-position model. The record is from RNAcentral.